AGAGUUUGUAUCCUGGCUCAGAUUGAACGCUGGCGGCAUGCCUUACACAUGCAAGUCGAACGGGGGUAGCAAUACCCUAGUGGCGAACGGGUGAGUAAAGCAUCGGAAGUACCCAGUCUGGGGGAUAACGUAGCGAAAGUUACGCUAAUACCGCAUACGAUCUGAGGAUGAAAGCAGGGGACUCGCAAGAGCCUUGCGCGAUUGGAGCGGCCGAUGUCGGAUUAGCUAGUUGGUGGGGUAAAAGCCUACCAAGGCGACGAUCCGUAGCUGGUCUGAGAGGAUGAUCAGCCACACUGGGACUGAGACACGGCCCAGACUCCUACGGGAGGCAGCAGUGGGGAAUUUUGGACAAUGGGGGAAACCCUGAUCCAGCCAUGCCGCGUGAGUGAAGAAGGCCUUCGGGUUGUAAAGCUCUUUCAGACGGAAAGAAAUGGUCUUGGCUAAUACCCGAGAUCGAUGACGGUACCGUAAGAAGAAGCACCGGCUAACUACGUG
This 495-nucleotide ribosomal RNA is filed under the name uncultured Rhodocyclaceae bacterium. Its description in RNAcentral is "bacterial SSU rRNA". It matches the Rfam family "Bacterial small subunit ribosomal RNA", at positions 8 to 507 of the family's 1533-position model. Lineage: Bacteria; Pseudomonadati; Pseudomonadota; Betaproteobacteria; Rhodocyclales; Rhodocyclaceae. The record is from RNAcentral.